This 233-nucleotide ribosomal RNA is filed under the name uncultured bacterium. Its description in RNAcentral is "partial 16S ribosomal RNA". It matches the Rfam family "Bacterial small subunit ribosomal RNA", at positions 15 to 237 of the family's 1533-position model. The record is from RNAcentral.
AUNACUGGCUCAGGAUGAACGCUACCUACAGGCUUAACACAUGCAAGUCGAGGGGCAGCAUGGUCUUAGCUUGCUAAGGCUGAUGGCGACCGGCGCACGGGUGAGUAACACGUAUCCAACCUGCCGUCUACUCUUGGCCAGCCUUCUGAAAGGAAGAUUAAUCCAGGAUGGGACCAUGAGUUCACAUGUCCGCAUGAUUAAAGGUAUUUUCCGGUAGACGAUGGGGAUGCGUU